CAUAGAUAAAAACUGUUCAUCUCUAAGAUUGAACCUGAACCUCAUAUGUAGUGUUAGCUAGACAUAGUCAACUCUUCAAUUCUGUUUGACCCAUAAUUUAAUUCUUAAUCAAGUUAGUUUAUAUGUUUAAUCAAGUCAAAUGCUUUCAAAUUGAAUGUAUAAACAUAGACCAAUACUUUUUUAUAUCGCUUGAUUUAUGUACGUAACUCUUUUGGUUCGAACACUA
This 226-nucleotide long non-coding RNA is filed under the name Elaeis guineensis (African oil palm). RNAcentral describes it as "long non-coding RNA (EGUI_LNC079526)". The record is from RNAcentral. Lineage: Eukaryota; Viridiplantae; Streptophyta; Magnoliopsida; Arecales; Arecaceae.